UACGGAUGAUGCAAGCGUUAUCCGGAUUUAUUGGGUUUAAAGGGUGUGCAGGUUGUUUGAUAAGUCAGUGGUGAAAGUCUGUCGCUUAACGGUAUGAUUGCCAUUGAUACUGUUAGACUUGAAUAUGGAUGAGGUAGGCGGAAUGUGUAGUGUAGCGGUGAAAUGCAUAGAUAUUACACAGAACACCGAUUGCGAAGGCAGCUUACUAAACUACUACUGACGCUCAGGCACGAAGGCGUGGGGAUCAAACA
This 251-nucleotide ribosomal RNA is filed under the name uncultured prokaryote. RNAcentral's name for it is "partial 16S ribosomal RNA". It matches the Rfam family "Bacterial small subunit ribosomal RNA", at positions 524 to 774 of the family's 1533-position model. The record is from RNAcentral.